This 433-nucleotide ribosomal RNA is filed under the name uncultured bacterium. Its description in RNAcentral is "partial 16S ribosomal RNA". It matches the Rfam family "Bacterial small subunit ribosomal RNA", at positions 29 to 507 of the family's 1533-position model. The record is from RNAcentral.
AACGAACGCUGGCGGCAUGCCUAACACAUGCAAGUCGAACGAACAGUUCGGGUCUAGUGGCGCACGGGUGCGUAAGGCGUGGGAACCUGCACUUAGGUUCGGAAUAACUCUCCGAAAGGGGUGCUAAUACCGGAUAAUGUCUUCGGACCAAAGAUUUAUCGCCUUUGGAUGGGCCAGCGUUGGAUUAGCUAGUUGGUAGGGUAAAAGCCUACCAAGGCGACGAUUCAUAGCUGGUUUGAGAGGAUGAUCAGCAACACUGGGACUGAGACACGGCCCAGACUCCUACGGGAGGCAGCAGUGGGGAAUAUUGGACAAUGGGCGAAAGCCUGAUCCAGCAAUGCCGCGUGAGUGAUGAAGUCCUUAGGGUUGUAAAGCUCUUUUACCCGGGAUGAUAAUGACAGUACCGGGAGAAUAAGCUCCGGCUAACUCCGUG